RNAcentral lists this ribosomal RNA (253 nucleotides) under uncultured bacterium. RNAcentral's name for it is "partial 16S ribosomal RNA". It matches the Rfam family "Bacterial small subunit ribosomal RNA", at positions 524 to 776 of the family's 1533-position model. The record is from RNAcentral.
UACGGAGGGUGCAAGCGUUGUCCGGAUUUAUUGGGUUUAAAGGGUGCGUAGGUGGCUUGUUAAGUCCGGGGUGAAAGCCCACAGCUCAACUGUGGAACUGCCCUGGAUACUGGCGAGCUUGAGUCCAGACGAGGUUGGCGGAAUGGAAGCUGUAGCGGUGAAAUGCAUAGAUCGCUUCCAGAACCCCGAUUGCGUAGGCAGCUGACUAGGCUGGUACUGACACUGAGGCACGAAAGCGUGGGGAGCGAACAGG